RNAcentral lists this ribosomal RNA (301 nucleotides) under uncultured bacterium. Its description in RNAcentral is "partial 16S ribosomal RNA". It matches the Rfam family "Bacterial small subunit ribosomal RNA", at positions 509 to 807 of the family's 1533-position model. The record is from RNAcentral.
CAGUAGCCGCGGGAAUACGUAGGGUGCAAGCGUUAAUCGGAAUUACUGGGCGUAAAGCGCGCGUAGGUGGUUUGUUAAGUUGGAUGUGAAAGCCCCGGGCUCAACCUGGGAACUGCAUCCAAAACUGGCAAGCUAGAGUACGGUAGAGGGUGGUGGAAUUUCCUGUGUAGCGGUGAAAUGCGUAGAUAUAGGAAGGAACACCAGUGGCGAAGGCGACCACCUGGACUGAUACUGACACUGAGGUGCGAAAGCGUGGGGAGCAAACAGGAUUAGAUACCCCCGUAGUCCCUGUCUCUUAUAC